RNAcentral lists this ribosomal RNA (253 nucleotides) under uncultured bacterium. Its description in RNAcentral is "partial 16S ribosomal RNA". It matches the Rfam family "Bacterial small subunit ribosomal RNA", at positions 524 to 776 of the family's 1533-position model. The record is from RNAcentral.
UACGUAGGGUGCAAGCGUUGUUCGGAAUUAUUGGGCGUAAAGCGCGUGUAGGUGGCUAGUUAAGUUGGGUGUGAAAUCCCCGGGCUCAACCCAGGAAGUGCACUCAAAACUGGCUGGCUAGAAGAUAGUAGAGGAUGGUGGAAUUCCAAGUGUAGAGGUGAAAUUCGUAGAUAUUUGGAGGAAUACCGGCGGCGAAGGCGGCCAUCUGGGCUAUUCUUGACACUGAGACGCGAAAGCGUGGGGAGCAAACAGG